UACAGAGGGGGCAAGCGUUGUUCGGAAUUACUGGGCGUAAAGGGUGUGUAGGUGGCGCCGUAAGUCGGGUGUGAAAUUUCGGAGCUUAACUCCGAAACUGCAUUCGAUACUGCGGUGCUUGAGGACUGGAGAGGAGACUGGAAUUCAUGGUGUAGCAGUGAAAUGCGUAGAGAUCAUGAGGAAGACCAGUGGCGAAGGCGGGUCUCUGGACAGUUCCUGACACUGAGACACGAAGGCCAGGGGAGCAAACGGG
Molecule: ribosomal RNA, 253 nt
Filed under: uncultured bacterium
Lineage: Bacteria
Description: partial 16S ribosomal RNA
Rfam family: Bacterial small subunit ribosomal RNA
Source: RNAcentral